This 1093-nucleotide long non-coding RNA is filed under the name Homo sapiens (human). Its description in RNAcentral is "PREDICTED lncRNA (TCONS_00127727)". The record is from RNAcentral. Lineage: Eukaryota; Metazoa; Chordata; Mammalia; Primates; Hominidae.
CCUGCCUCAGCCUCCCGAGUAGCUGGAACUACAGGCGCCCGCCAUGAUGCCCGGCUCAUUUUCUGUGUUUUCAGUAGAGACGGGGUUUCACUGUGUUAGCCAGGAAAGUCUUGAUCUCCUGACCUCGUGAUCCUGACCUCGGCCUCCCAAAGUGCUGGGAUUACAGGCGCGAGCCACCGCGCCCGACAGCAGUUAUGAAGUUCUAAAAGCAAGUCUUAAUCAGGAAGUGUCCUUGAUCACCAACGGCUCGCCCAGGCAUGCUGGCUCUCUUCCACUUCCACCUUCCACCAUGGGAUGACGCAGUAAGAAGGCCAUCAGUAGAUGCCAGUCCCUCAACCUUGAACUUUCCAGACGCAGAACUAGUGCACUCCUUGGAAGGAAGUCACUAUAGAUAUCCCACGCAUGUGGAGAGGGGAGCUAUGAUCCACCUCAUGAAGGGCAAGUUUAAACAUUUCAUUCCAUCAUCGUGUUCCUGGUUUCUAUGAGAACUCCACUGUCAUUCUUAUUCUUGUUCCUCUAAAUGUGAGGUAUUUUUUUCUCCUUGGGCUUCUUUCAAAAUUUUUCUCAUUGACUCUGGUUCGCUUAUGACAUGCCUAGGUGUAGUCCAUUUUGAGUAUUAUGUAAUGAGACACCAGAUCUUAUUUCAACCUUCUGUUUUGGCUGGAUUUCCUCUGAAACUGCUCUGGCAGCAAAGGAGGAAGGGUUACUCCCAGCUAGGGUUAUAAUUCCAGGUCCCUCACCUGGCCGCUGGGGAAGAGGCUCCGCAUUACUGCGUGACAGAGAUGCAAGUUCUGAAUCACCUCUAGGCCUCCACUGAGACGCUCCAUCUGGGAUGACUGGAAUUUUGGUUUCUUCUCACCACCUCCACUGAGACGCUCCAUCUGGGAUGACUGGAAUUUUGGUUUCUUCUCACCACCUCCACUGAGACGCUGCAUCUGGGAUGACUAGGAAUUUUGGUUUCUGCUCACCACCUCCACUGAGACGCUCCAUCUGGGAUGACUAGGAAUUUUGGUUUCUGCUCACCACCUCCACUGAGACGCUGCAUCUGGGAUGACUAGGAAUUUUGGUUUCUGCUCACCACCUCCACUGAGAC